Nycticebus coucang (slow loris) is the source of this 1284-nucleotide RNA transcript. It is a transcript of the gene named mortality factor 4-like protein 1, with no coding region annotated. The record is from RefSeq and is a predicted model, not a curated record. NCBI's taxonomy places the organism in Eukaryota, Metazoa, Chordata, Mammalia, Primates, Lorisidae. The transcript has a single exon.
GUGAGAGAAGGAGGCGGCGGCGAAUCACUUAUAAAUGGCGCUGAAGCAGGACCCGAAGCCUAAAUUCCAGGAGGGUGAGUGAGUACUGUGCUUUCAUGGGUUUCUUAUUUAUGAUGCAAAGUGUGUAAAGGUUGCCAUAAAGGACAAACAAGUGAAAUACUUUAUACAUUACAGUGGUUGGAAUAAAAAAAGUGCCGUGAGGCUCAGGCACUCUGAAAAAACUUUGAAGACACAUGAGGAUAUUGUAGCCCUUUUUCCUGUUCCUGAAGGAGCUCCCUCAGUACACCACCCCCUCCUGACCUCUAGUUGGGAUGAAUGGGUUCCAGAGAGCAGAGUACUCAAAUAUGUGGAUACCAAUCUGCAGAAACAGCGAGAACUUCAAAACGCCAAUCAGGAGCAGUAUGCAGAGAAGAAGAUGAGAGGGGCUACUCCAGGAAAGAAGACAUCUGGUCUGCAAGAGAAAAAUGUUGAAGUGAAAACAAAGGAGAAUAAGCAGAAAACACCUGGAAAUGGAGAUGGUGGCAGUACCAAUGAGACACCUCAACCUCCUGGGAAGAAAACGGCCUGGGUAGAUACUACUGUUGAAAAUGAAGAAACAUUCAUGACCAGAGUUGAAGUUAAAGAUUCCUGAAGAGCUAAAACUUUGGCUUGUUGAUGACUGAGACUUAAUUACCAGGCAAAAAUAGCUCUUUUAUCUUCCUGCUAAGAAGAAUGUGGAUUCCAUUCUGGAAGAUUAUACAGAUUACAAGAAAUCUCUGGAAACACAGAUAAUAAGGAGUAUGCUGUUAAUGAAGUUGUGGCAGGGAUAAAAGAAUACUUCAAUGUAAUGUUAGCUCCUGUACAAAUUUGAGAGACUGCAGUAUGCUGAAAUUCUUGCAGAUCACCCUGAUGCACCCAUGUCCCAAGUAUAUGGAGAACCACAUCUACUGAGAUUAUUUGUACGAAUUAGAGCAAUGUUGGCCUAUACACCUUUGGAUGAGAAAAGCCUUGCUUUAUUACUGAACUAUCUUCAUGAUUUCCUAAAGUAUCUGGCAAAGAAUUCUGCAACCUUGUUUAGUGCCAGCGAUUACGAAGUGGCUCCUCCUGAGUACCAUCGGAAAGCUGUCUGAGAGUUGGUCUCACUCAUAUAUGUUUGGAUCUCUGUAAACACAUUUUUGUACUUAGUCUUUCUCUUGUACAAAUGAUGUACUUUGAAGAUGUUAGUGUAUAACAAAAUUGAUGUUUGUUUUCUGUUUGAUUUUAAACAGAAGAAAAUAAAAGGGGUUAUUUUCUCAAAAAAAAAAA